Molecule: microRNA precursor, 95 nt
Filed under: Myotis lucifugus (little brown bat)
Lineage: Eukaryota; Metazoa; Chordata; Mammalia; Chiroptera; Vespertilionidae
Description: miRNA (ENSMLUG00000020300.1)
Source: RNAcentral
CCUGCAUAUAUACGUCUGUAUCCACUGUGUGUGUGCAUGUAUGCACAACACACACACACACACACACACACACACACACACACACACACUCACAU